AACCCCAAAGUGCCCCAGCUAUUAGUUCUAGGGGAUAAUAGUAUCUUGGCUACAUCCAACUAUGACCCUGUUAAGAAGACUGUAGUCAUUGUCCAUGGGUGGAAGAAUACUCCUAGUGAUGACUUUAAUGUUCUGUUAAUUGCUGCAUAUCUGCAAGCUGAGGAUAUAAAUAUGAUUAGUGUGGAUUGGAGCAUAGGAGCCGGUGCCUUAUACCAUGUGGCCAUAUUCAAUAACGUCGUUACAGG
Molecule: non-coding RNA, 245 nt
Organism: Spodoptera litura
Lineage: Eukaryota; Metazoa; Arthropoda; Insecta; Lepidoptera; Noctuidae
Source: RefSeq, a predicted model, not a curated record